Molecule: unclassified non-coding RNA, 148 nt
Organism: Macaca fascicularis (crab-eating macaque)
Lineage: Eukaryota; Metazoa; Chordata; Mammalia; Primates; Cercopithecidae
Rfam family: Metazoan signal recognition particle RNA
About the family: The signal recognition particle (SRP) is a universally conserved ribonucleoprotein. It is involved in the co-translational targeting of proteins to membranes.
Source: Ensembl
GCCGGGUGUGGUGGUGCGUGCCUGUAAUCCCAGCUACUCGGGAGGCUGAGGCAGGGGAAUUGCUUGAGCCCAGGAGGUGGAGGUUGCAGUGAGCCAAGAUGGCACCACUGCACUCCAGCCUGGGUGACAGAGCGAGACUCCAUCUCAA